UACGUAGGGGGCAAGCGUUGUCCGGAUUCAUUGGGCGUAAAGAGCGUGUAGGCGGCCAGGUAGGUCGGUUGUGAAAACUGGAGGCUCAACCUUCAGAGGUCGAUCGAAACCAUCUGGCUAGAGUCCGGGAGAGGAGAGUGGAAUUCCUGGUGUAGCGGUGAAAUGCGCAGAUAUCAGGAGGAACACCGAUUGCGAAGGCAGCUCGCUGGGACGUCACUGACGCUGAGACGCGAAAGCGUGGGGAGCAAACAGG
This 253-nucleotide ribosomal RNA is filed under the name uncultured bacterium. RNAcentral describes it as "partial 16S ribosomal RNA". It matches the Rfam family "Bacterial small subunit ribosomal RNA", at positions 524 to 776 of the family's 1533-position model. The record is from RNAcentral.